GAAGACAGUACGCGAUAGAGGACAAGGCAAAAGGAAUAAACAGCAACUCUACUGUACCCAGGACAAUUAUUGAGGAGCGGGGAGCCGUCCAAGUGUCCAGGCGACAGAAGAGGAGAAUAGUUGAAGGCACCAGAAGCCUUAAGCAUGAAGCAACUCCAGAAGCCUCUGCCGCGACUAUAAAAGGAGGUACCGGGUGAAGCAUUGGAAGCACAGACCGCAGCACCACACUACGACAUCAACCAGAUCAUCACCAAGAAUCACGAAGACCUCCACUCAUACUCCACUCAUGAAGACAUCCACCACCACUCUCUGAGAGAGAAAGAAUUAGCCACCAUACUUUAGAAUCUACCGCUGUAUUACUCCACCUCUGUACUAUCACUACUAGAAUAAAGGGAGGCCGUUGGAGCUCGUCCCUCGGUUUGUAAGGUAAUCAAGGUUUGUGCUAAGUGCUUGGGGUUUCCCGAAAGGGAAAGCCGCAUGUAAGCUUGUCCCGUGGAAAUGGAUUAAGCUGUCCUGGUAGCAUCCCUGCCUUCCUUUAAGCUCGUUCUUAUGGGGCGAUGUCUCUACGCUAGGGACCCUAGAGGAGAAACCUCUGCGCGUGUCGUUCUCGUGUUAGCCCUGGUAGCGGCGUUUGAGGAGAACCCUGUGUGCGCAGAGAAGUGUUCCCUUCGGGUGGAACUGCCUGGGGAGACGGUAGAGCCUGAGUCCUGUUUGAGCGUGGCUAGGGACGGUGAGGGUGCAGUCCGAGCUGGCUUGGUUCUGAAGCGAGCCAGCGAGGCAUGCGGUGAGUACCGAGUAGGACUGUCAGAAGCAUAGCAGCACAACCGGCUGAAUCUUCGGUCUCGCCAACCCGCAAAGAUCCUGAGAAUAGGCUUAAUUAAGGAAUAUACCUAACCACGCACCCGCGCGUGCUCGUAUCCCCCGAAAGCGACCCCGAAUAGUGCGCAAUAGUGCGCAAUAGUGAGUGAAUAGUGGCUGAAUAGUGCCGCCACCCGUAGGUGCUCCACCCACUCCCGGUGAGUGCUCGGGCACUAUUCAUAUUCCUGAAUUUGAAUAGUGAGCUGAAUUUAAAUAGUGCCGCGAAUUUGAAUAGUGUUCGCCGAAUUUGAAUAGUACUGUGAAUAGUAACUCGAAAUUUGAAAUCCGAAAUUUUUCGGAGUCGCUCGUUCCCUCGCCCUCGAUCGCCGAUUUCCCGCACUGGUAUUAUCCCAAAUAAGCAAGAAUGGAUAAAUAGAAUACAAGGAAGUAAAUAUUUCUCAAAAUUUGAUUUAAAAGCUGGGUUUUGGCAAGUAAAAAUGGCAGAAGAAUCAAUAGGUUGGACUGCCUUCACAUGUCCUCAAGGUCAUUUUGAAUGGUUGGUAAUGCCAUUAGGUCUAAAAAAUGCCCCUGCUUUGUUUCAAAGAAAAAUGCAGAAUAUCUUCGGUCUCGCCAACCCGCAAAGAUCCUGAGAAUAGGCUUAAUUAAGGAAUAUACCUAAUCACGCACCCACGCGUGCUCGUAUCCCCCGAAAGAGACCCCGAAUAGUGCGCAAUAGUGCGCAAUAGUGAGUGAAUAGUGGCUGAAUAGUGCCGCCACCCGUAGGUGCUCCACCCACUCCCGGUGAGUGCUCGGGCACUAUUCAUAUUCCCGAAUUUGAAUAGUGAGCUGAAUUUAAAUAGUGCCGCGAAUUUGAAUAGUGUUCGCCGAAUUUGAAUAGUGCUGUGAAUAGUAACUCGAAAUUUGAAAUCCGAAAUUUGAGAGAGUCGCUCGUUCCCUUGCCCUCGAUCGCCGAUUUCCCGCACUGGUAUCAGAGCCGAGGUUGUUAAAAUUUGUGUUUUUGAGGGUUUUUCUAUAUUUAGUCAAGAUUGAAAAACUUCACUAUUUAAAUCUAGAAGUUAAUACAGGAAAGACAGUUAAUACUAAAAAAAAUAUAAAUAUAAGGUGCAGAAUAAAUAGCUCUGAAGAUCAUACUUGGCAUACUUCACACGGUCAGAUCAAUUUAUUAGUUGAUUUAAUACAUAACUUCUAUAUAUCUUGGGGUAAAAGGCAAGACGAUUUAGAAUUAAAAUUUUAAAAACUACAGAAAGAACAUAAGCAUUUAGAAGAGAAUAUUUUAGCCUUGAAUAAUAAUCUAGAAUUAAUCUUGCGAGCAGCAAAAGAAAGUAGAAAUUCUCUAGGAAGAAUAAUUCAAAAUAGUGAUUAUAUUAAAAAGGAUAUAACUCACCUAUAUAAGAAAUUUGAUAAUACUAAUUUUGAGCAUAACAAAGAAAUUGUUCUAUCAUCAACAGGAUUAGUCGAGUUUAAUAGAUCAUUAAACUCUGAAAAAUGGAAAUAUCUGAAAGUCUCUCUAGAAGAGACAAGUCUCUCCAACUAAUAAAUAAAGACAUAAAGCCUUUAAGCUUUAUGGAUAGAUUGAAAGGAGGAUGUGAUGAUAUUGAAAACUUAGAAGAAAUGAUAGAUGUAGAAAGAGAUCUUGAAAGAUAUCAGAGAGAUACCUUAAGAAGGAUAAGACAUCAGCAAAUAUAUCAAAUGGGCUGGUUUGAAAAUAAAAAUGGGCUAUACAGAAUAUCUAGAGAAGUAGAAUUAAGUGUUCUAACAGAACCAGUUCAGCUAAGAAUUGUUAGUAAACAAUUUGAGAACGGGCUAAAAUAUUCUGGCUACAAAUAUAUUCAUCAAGGAAUGUAUAUUAUAGGAAUUAAAGGAAUGACUAGGAAGAAAUUAGGAACCAAAGUUCUAAUAACCUUGUUAGAUAAAAGAUGGGAUUCAGUGAAUAAAGCAGCAUUGGGUUUCCUAGAAGGAGAUAUGAAUGAAAAUAUGUUAAUAACAUACAUAGCUCCAGAUUUAAUAAUGCCAAUAAAAGAAUUUAUAGAUAAAAUGGCAAUAGGGUUUCAGACCAAAGGCUAUGAAGACUUUAAAGGUACAAAUUUAUUAGUAAGUAUAGAAUUUGUAGGAAGGUUAACUAAUAGAAGUGCAACUAAAUACAAGGUAAAUGUAAACAAUGUAAUAGAAAGUAUGCAGUCUAAGGGAAUAAAAUUCAUGAGUCCUUUAAAAAUUAGUUCUGAAGAAAGAGCAGGUGAAGAAUGGAAUAUAAGUGCUUUAAUAGAACCAAAGAUUUUAAAACAACCUAAAGAUUAUGUAAGCUAUGAAAAUAGUAAAGGCAAAACUAGUAUCAGGUUUGUUAAUUACAAAGAAAGAAGUUUAGAUGAUUUAGAAGUUUCAACUUCUGAGUCAAACAUAGGAGAAGCUAGAAGACAUAGUGUAUGUGAAUUCAUGGAGAAAUUAGAUAUUGAUAAUGAAAUAAAACAUUAUGAGAAAAAACUAAGUAAAGUUCAAGAUGAAUACAAUACCUCUAUGAUAUGUGAAUGGUCUGCUAUUAGAGAAAAAGAGCUAUAUUUCAGAAGAGAAUUAUAUAGACUUAAUAAAAUUAAGAAAGAAAGAGAGUUAAAUAAUAAAAAGAUUAACAUGCCGAUAAUAAAACAUGAACCUACUUUGCAACAUGUAAAUGAUAAAAAUAGUAAGAUUCAGAAAGAUUUAGAGAAUAAUAAAGAUAGGGUAAAGGAAAAAGAAGAGGUUGUUAUAAGCGAAGAAGAACAAUGGGAGAUCAAUAAUAAAAUUUUAUUAGAAAGUUAUGAAGAAGAGGAUGAAGAUAUAAUAGAAGUACAUAGUAGUAAGUCAGAAUCACAUAUUCUUUCUUUAAGAAGUGAAGAAUUAUACAAUAAAGAUACUGCUAUAGAAGCCAUGGAUAUAGAUCCUAGUCCAUCUAAAAGAAGACGAGAGCAAGAGAGAGAUAUAAAAAUUGAAGGAGAAACGGAUAGACCAUCUAGAAAACCAGGUAAUUGGCCACCAGAAAAGGAAGAGCCUACAUAUACCUAUAUACCUGGACAAUAUAAGCAUAUGGGUUCAAAAAGAAGAAAGUUUGAAAGGACUGUGCAGUUUCAGAAUUAUAGAAGCGAUGGUGCAAUAUUAAAUUUAGCAGCACACGAUCCUAUUGAUUGGCCAAAUAUUAUAAGCAUAUGGAAAAGCCUAAUAGUCCAAAAAUAUAUACAAAAUCAGCAUAAUAUUGGCAGUAGAGUAGAAGAUAUGAUUACAUAUUUAGAAACAUUCUUAGGAGAAUCAGUUAAGGUUCUAUGGGAACAAUGGGUAGAAACUUAUCCUCAUUAUUAUGAAGAAUUAAAAAGAGCUGGUAGUAACCCUUAUAAUUUUGCAAAUAUCAUAUCAAGUAUUGUUAUAGAUGAAGAUCCAGAAUUAGGUUAUACUGCAUUACAAAAUGAAAGAUUGAAGGAAAUAGAGAAAUUGACUUUAACAAAUUGGAAAGGAAUAAAAGAGUUCUCUCAGCAUUAUUUGUAUAACGCCACAACUGCUAAGCAAGGCUAUAAUAAGAGUAUAGUUGAAAAAUAUUUUAAUAAAUUACCAGAUCCUUUAGGAUCUAUGAUAUUUGAAGAAUAUAAAAAGGAAUCUAAUGGAAGGGAAUAUAAUAUUUCUCAGGCUAUAACAUUUGUUUUUAAGCAACUAAGAAAAAUAUGCACAAGCAUACAAGCUCAAAGGUCAAUGAAGCAAUCAGAUUACAACUUUUGUAAUAAAAUAGUUCAAAUACCAUUGACAUAUGGAGAAGAGAAAUAUAGAAAUAAGAAAUACCCUAAAAAUUAUAAAAAGGGAAAUGUAAAAACAAAGAAAAGAUAUUUCCUAAGGAGAUCAGAUAAUAGAGCUCCUUUUCUUCACAAGAGAAAUGUAAGAAGAUAUAAUCCUAGAAAAAAUUAUGAUAGUACAUGUAGAUGCUUUAUUUGCAAUUCUCCAGAUCAUUUAAGUAAAACUUGUCCUAAUAAGGAUAAGAAGAGAUAUUCUAAUAAGCAAGAAGAGCAAGAAAAGGUGUUAAUUAUAGAUAGUGUUAACGAAAAUAUUCUGGUAUGUGAUGAUGAUAUAAUGGAUGAUGAAUCUAUAUAUUCAAUAAUAGAAACAGAUGAGAUUGAAUAUAAUGAAGAAGAUGAAUCGAGUGAUGAAGAGAUGAACUUGAUUGAAGAACUAGCAGGGUUAAAAAUAGAAAUGAUGGAUCAAGUAAUUCGGGAUCAUAAAAGAGAUGACGUUAAUAUAAAUUGUGUAUUUUGUAUAUAUUAUCAAGAUCCAGGAAAAAGGGCUACUUGCAGUUUAUGUAUAAAACAGGCAUGUAGAUCAUGCUUAGAACAGCCAAGUGACAAGAAAGUAGUCAAUACAAAAUGUGAGGAAAAUAAGAUCAGUCCGAAGGAGGACUCUUCAAAAGAUAAAAGAAAUAAUAAAUAUUUAACCAAUACUCCACACGAGUUUCUUAUCCCUAGGAUAAGUUUUAAGACUGAACAAGUGCUGGCAUAUUUUACACAAGAUAUUAUAGAUCUAAUAUGGAAGAAAUAUGCUGAAAGACAGUAAAAAACAUUUCAGGAUAUACAAAAUUACUUCAUGAGGCUAUAUCAAGGUAUAGAAAGGAAUUUGGGAAUAAUAGUUACUAUAAAUACCUUUCCUUUGCUCCAUCUUGAUGAUAAGUUAAUUGUUAAGCCUCAUCAUAAAUUUAUAAUACUUAAGGCUGAUAUAAACCUAAAAUAUUUUACAAAUAUACAAAGGCAUACAGGAGAAGAUAUUUCUUUACAAGCUAUUAUUGAUCAUGGGUUAGUCCAAGAUAUAAAUCGACGAUCAAGGGCGAGGGAACGAGCGACUCCGAAAAAUUUCGGAUUUAAAAUUUCGAGUUACUAUUCACAGCACUAUUCAAAUUCGGCGAACACUAUUCAAAUUUGCGGCACUAUUUAAAUUCAGCUCACUAUUUAAAUUCGGGAAUAUGAAUAGUGCCCGAGCACUCACCGGGAGUGGGUGGAGCACCUACGGGUGGCGGCACUAUUCAGCCACUAUUCACUCACUAUUGCGCACUAUUGCGCACUAUUCGGGGUCGCUUUCGGGGGAUACGAGCACGCGCGGGUGCGUGAUUAGGUAUAUUCCUUAAUUAAGCCUAUUCUCAGGAUCUUUGCGGGUUGGCGAGACCGAAGAUUCAGCCGGUCGUGCUGCUAUGCUUGUGACAGUCCUACUCGGUACUCACCGCAUGCCUCGCUGGCUCGCUUCAGAACCAGGCCAGCCCGGACUGCACCCUCACCGUCCCCAGCCACGCUCAAACAGGACUCAGGCUCUACCGUCUCCCCAGGCAGUUCCACCCGAAGGGAACACUUCUCUGCGCACACAGGGUUCUCCUCAAACGCCGCUACCAGGGCUAACACGAGAACGACACGCGCAGAGGUUUCUCCUCUAGGGUCCCUAGCGUAGAGACAUCGCCCCAUAAGAACGAGCUUAAAGGAAGGCAGGGAUGCUACCAGGACAGCUUAAUCCAUUUUCACGGGACAAGCUUACAUGCGGCUUUCCCUUUCGGGAAACCCCAAGCACUUAGCACAAACCUUGAUUACCUUACAAACCGAGGGACGAGCUCCAACGGCCUCCCUUUAUUCUAGUAGUGGUAGUACAGAGGUGGAGUAAUACAGCGGUACAUUCUAAAGUAUGGUGGCUAAUUCUUUCUCUCUCAGAGAGUGGUGGUGGAUGUCUUCAUGAGUGGAGUAUGAGUGGAGGUCUUCGUGAUUCUUGGUGAUGCUCUGGUUGAUGUCAUAGUGUGGUGCUGCGGUCUGUGCUUCCAAUGCUUUACCCGGUACCUCCUUUUAUAGUCGCGGCAGAGGCUUCUGGAGUUGCUUCGUGCUUAAGGCUUCUGGUGCCUUCAACUAUUCUCCUCUUCUGUCGCCUGGACACUUGGACGGCUCCCCGCUCCUCAAUAAUUGUCCUGGGUACAGUAGAGUUGCUGUUUAUUCCUUUUGCCUUGUCCUCUAUCGCGUACUGUCUUCUCGUGAUAUUCCGGAUGCUGCUUGGUAUGGUCUUCCACGCCCGAAUGAUUGACGUCGCAGACUUCAAUCAGAACAUCAUGGCAUGUAGUAUUAUUUCGCCCCGGCCGAAUUGUUGUUAACACGUUAACAACACUGGAGAAUUAUUCCUUUGUGUGUCAAAUAUUUUUUUAUGCGAGCUGUAUUUCUAUUCUUCUUCAAUAUCCGGUACCUCUGGUUGCCACAGUUCAUACCAUGAUAGUAAUUCACGAUAUUCUUUUCUUAACUGGCAUUCCAUUCCAUAAUUUGGCUUAAGUAGCCUUCCUACUUCUUUUGAUAUUAUACUAUUCCUUCCAUAAUAUUCUCGUAGAAAUAUUUUUGUUAUUUUGUUUUGAUACAUCAUAUGGUACUCAGUAUUGAAUUUAGUAUUUCCUUCUAUUUCUUUUGCUUCACUGAAACUUCUCCAAUUAUCAUGAUUAUUUUUGGCACGUAUAUCUUCAUAAUUGUACCAUGUUUCUGAAGACCAUAUCGUAGGGAAUUUAUACGGACCUUUUAUAAUAUAUAUAUCAUGACUUGCUGGUCUCAAUGGUAGUGUAAAUUUUGGUGGAUUAGAAAAGUAUUUUAUUUUAUAUUUUCCUUGAACACACGCCAAUCUUUUGCAUGCUUCUUUAAUAGCCUUUCCUAAAUCAGAUUGAAGUAUUUCCUCCAAUGUUCCAUAAAUAUCUCGGACUAACCCAUGAUCAAUAAUAGUUUGUAAAGCAAUAUCUUCUCCUGUAUGCCUUUGUAUAUUUGUAAAAUAUUUUAGGUUUAUAUCAGCCAUAAGUAUUAUAAAUUUAUGAUGAGGCUUAACAAUUAACUUAUCAUCAAGAUGGAGCAAAGGAAAGGUAUUUAUAGUAACUAUUAUUCCCAAAUUCCUUUCUAUACCUUGAUAUAGCCUCAUGAAGUAAUUUUGUAUAUCCUGAAAUGUUUUUUACUGUCUUUCAGCAUAUUUCUUCCAUAUUAGAUCUAUAAUAUCUUGUGUAAAAUAUGCCAGCACUUGUUCAGUCUUAAAACUUAUCCUAGGGAUAAGAAACUCGUGUGGAGUAUUGGUUAAAUAUUUAUUAUUUCUUUUAUCUUUUGAAGAGUCCUCCUUCGGACUGAUCUUAUUUUCCUCACAUUUUGUAUUGACUACUUUCUUGUCACUUGGCUGUUCUAAGCAUGAUCUACAUGCCUGUUUUAUACAUAAACUGCAAGUAGCCCUUUUUCCUGGAUCUUGAUAAUAUAUACAAAAUACACAAUUUAUAUUAACGUCAUCUCUUUUAUGAUCCCGAAUUACUUGAUCCAUCAUUUCUAUUUUUAACCCUGCUAGUUCUUCAAUCAAGUUCAUCUCUUCAUCACUCGAUUCAUCUUCUUCAUUAUAUUCAAUCUCAUCUGUUUCUAUUAUUGAAUAUAUAGAUUCAUCAUCCAUUAUAUCAUCAUCACAUACCAGAAUAUUUUCGUUAACACUAUCUAUAAUUAACACCUUUUCUUGCUCUUCUUGCUUAUUAGAAUAUCUCUUCUUAUCCUUAUUAGGACAAGUUUUACUUAAAUGAUCUGGAGAAUUGCAAAUAAAGCAUCUACAUGUACUAUCAUAAUUUUUUCUAGGAUUAUAUCUUCUUACAUUUCUCUUGUGAAGAAAAGGAGCUCUAUUAUCUGAUCUCCUUAGGAAAUAUCUUUUCUUUGUUUUUACAUUUCCCUUUUUAUAAUUUUUAGGAUAUUUCUUAUUUCUAUAUUUCUCUUCUCCAUAUGUCAAUGGUAUUUGAACUAUUUUAUUACAAAAGUUGUAAUCUGAUUGCUUCAUCGACCUUUGAGCUUGUAUGCUUGUGCAUAUUUUUCUUAGUUGCUUAAAAACAAAUGUUAUAGCCUGAGAAAUAUUAUAUUCCCUUCCAUUAGAUUCCUUUUUAUAUUCUUCAAAUAUCAUAGAUCCUAAAGGAUCUGGUAAUUUAUUAAAAUAUCUUUCAACUAUACUCUUAUUAUAGCCUUGCUUAGCAGUUGUGGCAUUAUACAAAUAAUGCUGAGAGAACUCUUUUAUUCCUUUCCAAUUUGUUAAAGUUAAUUUCUCUAUUUCCUUCAAUCUUUCAUUUUGUAAUGCAGUAUAACCUAAUUCUGGAUCUUCAUCUAUAACAAUACUUGAUAUGAUAUUUGGCCUUAAGCACGAAGCAACUCCAGAAGCCUCUGCCGCGACUAUAAAAGGAGGUACCGGGUGAAGCAUUGGAAGCACAGACCGCAGCACCACACUACGACAUCAACCAGAGCAUCACCAAGAAUCACGAAGACCUCCACUCAUACUCCACUCAUGAAGACAUCCACCACCACUCUCUGAGAGAGAAAGAAUUAGCCACCAUACUUUAGAAUCUACCGCUGUAU
This 9179-nucleotide long non-coding RNA is filed under the name Setaria viridis. RNAcentral's name for it is "long non-coding RNA (SVIR_LNC004129)". The record is from RNAcentral. Lineage: Eukaryota; Viridiplantae; Streptophyta; Magnoliopsida; Poales; Poaceae.